Molecule: ribosomal RNA, 394 nt
Filed under: uncultured bacterium
Lineage: Bacteria
Description: partial 16S ribosomal RNA
Rfam family: Bacterial small subunit ribosomal RNA
Source: RNAcentral
AUACGUAGGGGACGAGCGUUGUCCGGAAUUACUGGGCGUAAAGGGCGCGCAGGCGGAUAUUUAAGUCAGCUGUAAAAGGCAUGAGCUCAACUCAUGUAUGCGGUUGAAACUGGGUAUCUAGAGUGCUGGAGAGGUAGGCGGAAUUCCCGGUGUAGCGGUGAAAUGCGUAGAUAUCGGGAAGAACACCAGUGGCGAAGGCGGCUUACUAGCCAGCAACUGACGCUGAGGCGCGAAAGCCAGGGGAGCGAACGGGGUUAGAUACCCCGGUAGUCCUGGCCGUAAACGAUGAAUGCUAGGUGUGGGUGUCGAGAGGCAUCCGUGCCGGAGUUAACGCGAUAAGCAUUCCGCCUGGGGAGUACGAUCGCAAGAUUGAAACUCAAAGGAAUUGACGGGG